GCCCUCUCGUAGCUCACACUGCUGUGGGAGAGAGGGAUAGGGCAUAUAACAUGUUGUAAUAUUUGCAAAUAGGCCCUCCCACUUUCUAUCCAGUGCACUGCCCAAACUGGGCAAUUUUUUCGUGCUGAGAGACCGGUCUCUCCCUACCUGGGACUGGUCCCCGAGAGCUUCUCCCGCGGUUUGCGCAACCUAUGCACGAGGCAACCGGUCUCCCCUGAUGGGACCGGUCUUUUGGGGACCGGUCUCUCCCCGCAGGGACCGGUUCCCGAGAGCUGUCCACCAGGGACUUAGCCGAUUUUUCCUCCCUUUCGCUGUCUGCGCGUUCGGGGACCGGUCUCUCCAACCAGGGACCGGUCCCCGAGAGCCAAAAACCUGCAGUUUGCAGAUUUUCAAUUCCAAAGCUCUCGAAGAUCCCCAAUGACGCACUUUUACUCCUUUUCG
This 441-nucleotide long non-coding RNA is filed under the name Ananas comosus (pineapple). RNAcentral's name for it is "long non-coding RNA (ACOM_LNC037368)". The record is from RNAcentral. Lineage: Eukaryota; Viridiplantae; Streptophyta; Magnoliopsida; Poales; Bromeliaceae.